UCUCUAGUAGCCCAUCGGUUAGUACAGGCGCCUGUAAUGUUGUCGAUAAUUUCGCGCGUAAAAGCUGGGUUCGAUUCCCAGCCAGAGAG
Armillaria borealis is the source of this 89-nucleotide non-coding RNA. The record is from the annotation of a GenBank genome assembly. Lineage: Eukaryota; Fungi; Basidiomycota; Agaricomycetes; Agaricales; Physalacriaceae.